This 460-nucleotide ribosomal RNA is filed under the name Lygodactylus salvi. RNAcentral's name for it is "partial 16S ribosomal RNA". It matches the Rfam family "Bacterial large subunit ribosomal RNA", at positions 1954 to 2597 of the family's 2925-position model. The record is from RNAcentral. Lineage: Eukaryota; Metazoa; Chordata; Lepidosauria; Squamata; Gekkonidae.
AGGUAGCGCAAUCACCUGUCCCUUAACUGAGGACUAGUAUGAACGGCUAAAUGAGGGCACGACUGUCUCCUGCGACCAAUCAAUGAAUUUGAUCUUUCAGUACAAAAGCUGAAAUAUACCCAUAAGACGAAAAGACCCUAUGGAACUUUAAACCCGUGCACUACUAAGCCUAACAAGAAUGACCUGACACUAGUACACACUUUCAGUUGGGGCAACUUAGGAGCAAAAUAAAAACUCCAUGAUUAUGCACUUAUUAUACGCAAACCCCUCAGGCUGCCGAGCCCCCUUAACGACAGACCCAGUAUAACUGAACAUCGAACCAAGCUACCCUAGGGAUAACAGCGCUAUCUUCCCCCGAAAGUUCAUAUCAACGGGGAGGCUUACGACCUCGAUGUUGGAUCAGGACCCCCAGGCGGUGCAGCCGCUGCCAAAGGUUCGUUUGUUCAACGACUAAUGUCCU